This 274-nucleotide ribosomal RNA is filed under the name uncultured bacterium. RNAcentral's name for it is "partial 16S ribosomal RNA". It matches the Rfam family "Archaeal small subunit ribosomal RNA", at positions 473 to 747 of the family's 1478-position model. The record is from RNAcentral.
AAACCAGCGCCUCAAGUGGUCAGGAGGAUUAUUGGGCCUAAAGCAUCCGUAGCCUGUUCUGUAAGUUUUCGGUUAAAUCCACUAGCUCAACUAGUGGGCUGCCGAAAAUACUGCAGGGCUAGGGAGUGGGAGAGGUAGACGGUACUCGGGAGGAAGGGGUAAAAUCCUUUGAUCUCUCGAUGACCACCUGUGGCGAAGGCGGUCUACCAGAACAUGUCCGACGGUGAGGGAUGAAAGCUGGGGGAGCAAACAGGAUUAGAUACCCCAGUAGUCC